UUACGGCCAUAUCACGUUGAAACAUAGGUUCCCGUAUGAUCACUGAAGUUUAGCAACAUCGAGGUUGGUCAGUAUCUAGAUGGAUGACCACUUGGGAAUACCAGAUACUGUG
Molecule: non-coding RNA, 112 nt
Organism: Acanthosepion pharaonis
Lineage: Eukaryota; Metazoa; Mollusca; Cephalopoda; Sepiida; Sepiidae
Source: the annotation of a GenBank genome assembly